Molecule: ribosomal RNA, 253 nt
Filed under: uncultured bacterium
Lineage: Bacteria
Description: partial 16S ribosomal RNA
Rfam family: Bacterial small subunit ribosomal RNA
Source: RNAcentral
UACGUAGGUGGCAAGCGUUGUCCGGAUUUAUUGGGUUUAAAGGGUGCGUAGGCGGUCCUAUAAGUCAGUGGUGAAAUACUCUAGCUUAACUAGAGGGGUGCCAAUGAUACUGUAGGACUUGAGUACAGAUGAGGUAGGCGGAAUUGACGGUGUAGCGGUGAAAUGCAUAGAUAUCGUCAAGAACACCUAUAGCGAAGGCAGCUUACUGGGCUGUAACUGACGCUGAGGCACGAAAGUGUGGGGAUCAAACAGG